GUUAUAUGGUCAAGUGAAGAAGCGCAUACGGUGGAUGCCUUGGCAGUCAGAGGCGAUGAAAGACGUGGUAGCCUGCGAAAAGCUUCGGGGAGUCGGCAAACAGACUGUGAUCCGGAGAUAUCUGAAUGGGGGAACCCAGCCAUCAUAAGAUGGUUAUCUUGUACUGAAUACAUAGGUGCAAGAGGCGAACCAGGGGAACUGAAACAUCUAAGUACCCUGAGGAAAAGAAAUCAACCGAGAUUCCCUUAGUAGUGGCGAGCGAACGGGGACCAGCCCUUAAGUUGUAUUGAGAUUAGCGGAACGUUCUGGAAAGGACGGCCAUAGUGGGUGAUAGCCCUGUACGCGAAAAUCCCUUUGCAAUGAAAUCGAGUAGGACGGGGCACGAGAAACCUUGUCUGAAUAUGGGGGGACCAUCCUCCAAGGCUAAAUACUACUGACUGACCGAUAGUGAACCAGUACCGUGAGGGAAAGGCGAAAAGAACCGCGGAGAGCGGAGUGAAAUAGAUCCUGAAACCGUAUGCGUACAAGCAGUGGGAGCCCACUUUGUUGGGUGACUGCGUACCUUUUGUAUAAUGGGUCAGCGACUUAUUUUCAGUGGCGAGCUUAACCGAAUAGGGGAGGCGUAGCGAAAGCGAGUCUUAAUAGGGCGUCUAGUCGCUGGGAAUAGACCCGAAACCGGGCGAUCUAUCCAUGGGCAGGUUGAAGGUUGGGUAACACUAACUGGAGGACCGAACCGACUACCGUUGAAAAGUUAGCGGAUGACCUGUGGAUCGGAGUGAAAGGCUAAUCAAGCUCGGAGAUAGCUGGUUCUCCUCGAAAGCUAUUUAGGUAGCGCCUCAUGUAUCACUGUAGGGGGUAGAGCACUGUUUCGGCUAGGGGGUCAUCCCGACUUACCAAACCGAUGCAAACUCCGAAUACCUACAAGUGCCGAGCAUGGGAGACACACGGCGGGUGCUAACGUCCGUCGUGAAAAGGGAAACAACCCAGACCGUCAGCUAAGGUCCCAAAGUCAUGGUUAAGUGGGAAACGAUGUGGGAAGGCUUAGACAGCUAGGAGGUUGGCUUAGAAGCAGCCACCCUUUAAAGAAAGCGUAAUAGCUCACUAGUCGAGUCGGCCUGCGCGGAAGAUGUAACGGGGCUCAAACCAUGCACCGAAGCUACGGGUAUCAUCUUAUGAUGAUGCGGUAGAGGAGCGUUCUGUAAGCCUGUGAAGGUGAGUUGAGAAGCUUGCUGGAGGUAUCAGAAGUGCGAAUGCUGACAUGAGUAACGACAAUGGGUGUGAAAAACACCCACGCCGAAAGACCAAGGUUUCCUGCGCAACGUUAAUCGACGCAGGGUUAGUCGGUCCCUAAGGCGAGGCUGAAAAGCGUAGUCGAUGGAAAACAGGUUAAUAUUCCUGUACUUCUGGUUAUUGCGAUGGAGGGACGGAGAAGGCUAGGCCAGCCUGGCGUUGGUUGUCCAGGUUUAAGGUGGUAGGCUGAGAUCUUAGGUAAAUCCGGGAUCUUAAGGCCGAGAGCUGAUGACGAGUGUUCUUUUAGAACAUGAAGUGGUUGAUGCCAUGCUUCCAAGAAAAGCUUCUAAGCUUCAGGUAACCAGGAACCGUACCCCAAACCGACACAGGUGGUUGGGUAGAGAAUACCAAGGCGCUUGAGAGAACUCGGGUGAAGGAACUAGGCAAAAUGGCACCGUAACUUCGGGAGAAGGUGCGCCGGUGGAGGUGAAGCAUUUACUGCGUAAGCCCCUGCCGGUCGAAGAUACCAGGCCGCUGCGACUGUUUAUUAAAAACACAGCACUCUGCAAACACGAAAGUGGACGUAUAGGGUGUGACGCCUGCCCGGUGCCGGAAGGUUAAUUGAUGGGGUUAGCGCAAGCGAAGCUCUUGAUCGAAGCCCCGGUAAACGGCGGCCGUAACUAUAACGGUCCUAAGGUAGCGAAAUUCCUUGUCGGGUAAGUUCCGACCUGCACGAAUGGCGUAACGAUGGCGGCGCUGUCUCCACCCGAGACUCAGUGAAAUUGAAAUCGCUGUGAAGAUGCAGUGUAUCCGCGGCUAGACGGAAAGACCCCGUGAACCUUUACUAUAGCUUUGCACUGGACUUUGAAUUUGCUUGUGUAGGAUAGGUGGGAGGCUUUGAAGCGUGGACGCCAGUCUGCGUGGAGCCAACCUUGAAAUACCACCCUGGCAACUUUGAGGUUCUAACUCAGGUCCGUUAUCCGGAUCGAGGACAGUGUAUGGUGGGUAGUUUGACUGGGGCGGUCUCCUCCUAAAGAGUAACGGAGGAGUACGAAGGUGCGCUCAGACCGGUCGGAAAUCGGUCGUAGAGUAUAAAGGCAAAAGCGCGCUUGACUGCGAGACAGACACGUCGAGCAGGUACGAAAGUAGGUCUUAGUGAUCCGGUGGUUCUGUAUGGAAGGGCCAUCGCUCAACGGAUAAAAGGUACUCCGGGGAUAACAGGCUGAUACCGCCCAAGAGUUCAUAUCGACGGCGGUGUUUGGCACCUCGAUGUCGGCUCAUCACAUCCUGGGGCUGAAGCCGGUCCCAAGGGUAUGGCUGUUCGCCAUUUAAAGUGGUACGCGAGCUGGGUUUAGAACGUCGUGAGACAGUUCGGUCCCUAUCUGCCGUGGACGUUUGAGAUUUGAGAGGGGCUGCUCCUAGUACGAGAGGACCGGAGUGGACGAACCUCUGGUGUUCCGGUUGUCACGCCAGUGGCAUUGCCGGGUAGCUAUGUUCGGAAAAGAUAACCGCUGAAAGCAUCUAAGCGGGAAACUUGCCUCAAGAUGAGAUCUCACUGGAACCUUGAGUUCCCUAAAGGGCCGUCGAAGACUACGACGUUGAUAGGUUGGGUGUGUAAGCGCUGUGAGGCGUUGAGCUAACCAAUACUAAUUGCCCGUGAGGCUUGACCAUAUAACACCCAAGCAAUU
This 2918-nucleotide ribosomal RNA is filed under the name Pseudomonas syringae pv. lapsa. RNAcentral's name for it is "bacterial LSU rRNA". It matches the Rfam family "Bacterial large subunit ribosomal RNA". Lineage: Bacteria; Pseudomonadati; Pseudomonadota; Gammaproteobacteria; Pseudomonadales; Pseudomonadaceae. The record is from RNAcentral.